AUACGUCAAAUAUAUCAGUGGGGUGCAAUUUUACCGAGGAAAUAUAUCAAAAGGGUAGCAAUUGGUGUCCAUAGGAAUGCCUACAACCUGUAAAUCAACUUUCAAUGAUUGCCGAAUCGUACAUAGAUGUUGCUAAGAAGAAAACUUACAGCUUUUAUCACCCUCUCACAAUUCCAGUUUAUCGAUACUAGGAAACAGCCUGUGAUGACAAAAGGCUGUAAUAAUACGGAUGUAUUCAUACAACGGGCUGAAAAAUUAAAUUUUAUCACACUCCAGAAAAAUAUCAUAUAGUUUACUUAUUGGUAUAUGACCAAGUUUGCAUAGUAAUUGAUGUCUACCAUUAUUUUGUAUUAUAGAUAAUAGAUCAGCAAGUGUAUAAUUUAUACGAUGUUUAAUACGUAGAUACGUUUACCAUGAGAAUGCACGUUUUUAUUUUGCUAAUUAACCAUCUAUGACUACACUCAGUUUUAGCCAUUUAGAAAUAUUCUAGUGGUUUUUUUUAAUAGAUUGAUGUUAUUUA
Molecule: long non-coding RNA, 520 nt
Organism: Mytilus californianus (California mussel)
Lineage: Eukaryota; Metazoa; Mollusca; Bivalvia; Mytilida; Mytilidae
Exons: 3
Source: RefSeq, a predicted model, not a curated record